RNAcentral lists this ribosomal RNA (440 nucleotides) under uncultured bacterium. RNAcentral describes it as "bacterial SSU rRNA". It matches the Rfam family "Bacterial small subunit ribosomal RNA", at positions 339 to 796 of the family's 1533-position model. The record is from RNAcentral.
CUACGGGAGGCAGCAGUAAGGAAUAUUGGACAAUGGGGGCAACCCUGAUCCAGCCAUGCCGCGUGAAUGAUGAAGGCCUUCGGGUUGUAAAGUUCUUUUGGUAGGGACGAUGAUGACGAUACCUACAGAAUAAGCUCCGGCUAACUUCGUGCCAGCAGCCGCGGUAAUACGAAGGGAGCUAGCGUUGUUCGGAAUUACUGGGCGUAAAGAGCGCGUAGGCGGUUUAACAAGUCAGAAGUGAAAGCCCUGGGCUCAACCCGGGAAUUGCUUUUGAGACUGUUUUUCUGGAGUACGAGAGAGGUAAGUGGAAUUCCCAGUGUAGCAGUGAAAUGCGUAGAUAUUGGGAGGAACACCAGUGGCGAAGGCGGCUUACUGGCUCGUAACUGACGCUAAGGCGCGAAAGCGUGGGGAGCAAACAGGAUUAGAAACCCGGGUAGUCC